GGGGGUAUAGCUCAGCUGGGAGAGCAUCUGCCUUACAAGCAGGAGGUCACAGGUUCGAGCCCUGUUGUCCCCACCA
This 76-nucleotide transfer RNA is filed under the name Candidatus Merdivicinus excrementipullorum. RNAcentral describes it as "tRNA-Val". It matches the Rfam family "tRNA". From Rfam's summary of the family: Transfer RNA (tRNA) molecules are approximately 80 nucleotides in length. The record is from RNAcentral. Lineage: Bacteria; Bacillati; Bacillota; Clostridia; Eubacteriales; Oscillospiraceae. RNAcentral also lists the same sequence under 3 other names.